CGCACGGGUGAGUAACGCGUAUGCAACCUGCCUAUAAGAGGGGGAUAGCCUUUCGAAAGAAAGAUUAAUACCGCAUAAUACUAUUUACCUGCAUGGGUAAAUAGUUAAACUAUUUGGCUUAUAGAUGGGCAUGCGUUCCAUUAGAUAGUUGGUGAGGUAACGGCUCACCAAGUCAGCGAUGGAUAGGGGUUCUGAGAGGAAGGUCCCCCACACUGGUACUGAGACACGGACCAGACUCCUACGGGAGGCAGCAGUGAGGAAUAUUGGUCAAUGGGCGAGAGCCUGAACCAGCCAAGUCGCGUGAAGGAUGAAGGUCUUAUGGAUUGUAAACUUCUUUUAUAAGGGAAUAAAAAAGAUCACGUGUGGUCUAUUGCAUGUACCUUAUGAAUAAGCAUCGGCUAACUCCGUGCCAGCAGCCGCGGUAAUACGGAGGAUGCGAGCGUUAUCCGGAUUUAUUGGGUUUAAAGGGUGCGUAGGCGGUUUAUUAAGUCAGUGGUGAAAGUUUUCGGCUCAACCGGAAAAUUGCCAUUGAAACUGAUAGACUUGAGUGUAAACGAGGUAGGCGGAAUUCGUGGUGUAGCGGUGAAAUGCUUAGAUAUCACGAAGAACUCCAAUUGCGAAGGCAGCUUACUAGGCUACAACUGACGCUGAAGCACGAAAGCGUGGGGAUCAAACAGGAUUAGAUACCCUGGUAGUCCACGCAGUAAACGAUGAUAACUAGCUGUUUGCGAUACACAGUAAGCGGCACAGCGAAAGCGUUAAGUUAUCCACCUGGG
Molecule: ribosomal RNA, 776 nt
Filed under: uncultured bacterium
Lineage: Bacteria
Description: bacterial SSU rRNA
Rfam family: Bacterial small subunit ribosomal RNA
Source: RNAcentral